This 500-nucleotide ribosomal RNA is filed under the name uncultured bacterium. RNAcentral's name for it is "partial 16S ribosomal RNA". It matches the Rfam family "Bacterial small subunit ribosomal RNA", at positions 30 to 523 of the family's 1533-position model. The record is from RNAcentral.
AUUGAACGCUGGCGGCAUGCUUUACACAUGCAAGUCGAACGGUAACAGGGUGCUUGCACCGCUGACGAGUGGCGAACGGGUGAGUAAUGCGUCGGAACGUGCCGAGUAGUGGGGGAUAACGCAGCGAAAGUUGUGCUAAUACCGCAUACGUACUGAGGUAGAAAGUGGGGGACCUUCGGGCCUCACGCUAUUCGAGCGGCCGACGUCUGAUUAGCUAGUAGGUGAGGUAAAGGCUCACCUAGGCGACGAUCAGUAGCGAGUCUGAGAGGAUGAUCCGCCACACUUGGACUGAGACACGGCCCAGACUCCUACGGGAGGCAGCAGUGGGGAAUUGUGGACAAUGGGCGAAAGCCUGAUCCAGCCAUGCCGCGUGUCUGAAGAAGGCCUUCGGGUUGUAAAGGACUUUUGUCAGGGAGGAAAUCCCUAGUGCUAAUAACACUGGGGGAUGACAGUACCUGAAGAAUAAGCACCGGCUAACUACGUGCCAGCCGCCGCAGUAA